CAGCAGCAGGCCCUGACUGCCACCCUGUCUCUGCUUCGAUGCUCUCGUGAGGAGCUAAGAGAUGUACAGGGUUUCCUUAGCCAACUGACAGGGGCCUGGGAGGACUGCAGUUCACAGCUACUGGAGAGGAGCAGGGAGUCAUACUCAGUGCUCAGGGAGGAGCUGAGGAGUGUGUGUGUCGAACUCCAGAGGAUCAGGACGGAGAGAGAGAACGUGGAGCAGAAACUCAUAGUUCAGAGCAGAAAGACAGAAGAGCUGGUGAACCAACAGACACACGCCCAGAGGGAGCACAGAGAGAGACUUCUCAGGCUGUCCCAAGAGCUCAGGGAGAAGGAGGAAGGCUGGUUGUCAUGCCAAUGCAGGUGUAACUCUCUACAAUCACAGCUGUUGGCAUGUCAACAGAGAGAGGAGGAGGCAACCCGGAAGUACUCUGUGACUGAGCAGGAAGUGGAAGCUCUGAGGAGAAAACUAGAACACGCCCAACAGAAGAGCAAAGACCUGAGGAG
This is a long non-coding RNA of Oncorhynchus masou masou (cherry salmon), 506 nucleotides long. RefSeq lists it as uncharacterized. The transcript has 4 exons. Lineage: Eukaryota; Metazoa; Chordata; Actinopteri; Salmoniformes; Salmonidae. The record is from RefSeq and is a predicted model, not a curated record.